Macaca mulatta (Rhesus monkey) is the source of this 52-nucleotide non-coding RNA. The record is from Rfam. Lineage: Eukaryota; Metazoa; Chordata; Mammalia; Primates; Cercopithecidae.
UUUUUAGUGCAAGUAUGUCCCAUGCAAUAUUUGGAACAUACUUAUACUAAAA